AAUUCAUAUUUGUAGUGCGGUCCUGUUUUUACGACAGGUUAAUAGGGAAAAAGGUAGAAGCCUUUGCAGCCCCCGCUACUGUAAGGGAGUACGAAAUCUCAAAUGCCACUGACUUAGUUGGGAAGGCGAGAAAGUAGGAUGAUCCCCGAGCCAGGAGACCUGCCACGCUAUGUAUUUACUUA
RNAcentral lists this non-coding RNA (182 nucleotides) under Petrocella atlantisensis. Lineage: Bacteria; Bacillati; Bacillota; Clostridia; Lachnospirales; Vallitaleaceae. The record is from RNAcentral.